GGCCAGACUCCUACGGGAGGCAGCAGUCGGGAAUAUUGCGCAAUGGAGGAAACUCUGACGCAGUGACGCCGCGUAUAGGAAGAAGGUUUUCGGAUUGUAAACUCCUUUUAUCAGGGACGAUAAUGACGGUACCUGAAGAAAAAGCUCCGGCUAACUACGUGCCAGCAGCCGCGGUAAUACGUAGGGGGCAAGCGUUAUCCGGAUUUACUGGGUGUAAAGGGAGCGUAGACGGCAAUGCAAGUCUGGAGUGAAAGCCCAAGGCCCAACCAUGGGACUGCUCUGGAAACUGUGUAGCUUGAGUGCAGGAGGGGUAAGCGGAAUUCCUAGUGUAGCGGUGAAAUGCGUAGAUAUUAGGAGGAACACCGGUGGCGAAGGCGGCUUACUGGACUGCAACUGACGUUGAGUCUCGAAGGCGUGGGGAGCCAACAGGAUUAGAUACCCUAGUA
Molecule: ribosomal RNA, 446 nt
Filed under: uncultured bacterium
Lineage: Bacteria
Description: bacterial SSU rRNA
Rfam family: Bacterial small subunit ribosomal RNA
Source: RNAcentral